GAUGAACGCUGGCGGCGUGCCUAAUACAUGCAAGUCGAGCGAACAGACGAGGAGCUUGCUCCUUUGACGUUAGCGGCGGACGGGUGAGUAACACGUGGAUAACCUACCUAUAAGACUGGGAUAACUUCGGGAAACCGGAGCUAAUACCGGAUAACAUGUUGAACCGCAUGGUUCAACAGUGAAAGACGGUCUUGCUGUCACUUAUAGAUGGAUCCGCGCCGCAUUAGCUAGUUGGUAAGGUAACGGCUUACCAAGGCAACGAUGCGUAGCCGACCUGAGAGGGUGAUCGGCCACACUGGAACUGAGACACGGUCCAGACCCCUACGGGAGGCAGCAGUAGGGAAUCUUCCGCAAUGGGCGAAAGCCUGACGGAGCAACGCCGCGUGAGUGAAGAAGGUCUUCGGAUCGUAAAACUCUGUUAUUAGGGAAGAACAAAUGUGUAAGUAACUAUGCACGUCUUGACGGUACCUAAUCAGAAAGCCACGGCUAACUACGUG
RNAcentral lists this ribosomal RNA (497 nucleotides) under uncultured bacterium. RNAcentral describes it as "partial 16S ribosomal RNA". It matches the Rfam family "Bacterial small subunit ribosomal RNA", at positions 28 to 507 of the family's 1533-position model. The record is from RNAcentral.